This 484-nucleotide ribosomal RNA is filed under the name uncultured bacterium. RNAcentral's name for it is "partial 16S ribosomal RNA". It matches the Rfam family "Bacterial small subunit ribosomal RNA", at positions 29 to 507 of the family's 1533-position model. The record is from RNAcentral.
AUUGAACGCUGGCGGCAUGCUUUACACAUGCAAGUCGAACGGCAGCGCGGGCUUCGGCCUGGCGGCGAGUGGCGAACGGGUGAGUAAUACAUCGGAACGUGCCCAGUAGAGGGGGAUAGCUCGGCGAAAGCCGGAUUAAUACCGCAUACGACCUGAGGGUGAAAGCGGGGGAUCUUCGGACCUCGCGCUAUUGGAGCGGCCGAUGGCAGAUUAGCUAGUUGGUUGGGUAAAGGCCUACCAAGGCGACGAUCUGUAGCUGGUCUGAGAGGACGACCAGCCACACUGGAACUGAGACACGGCCCAGACUCCUACGGGAGGCAGCAGUGGGGAAUUUUGGACAAUGGGCGAAAGCCUGAUCCAGCAAUGCCGCGUGUGUGAUGAAGGCCUUCGGGUUGUAAAGCACUUUUGGCGGGAACGAAAAAGACUGUGCCAAUACCACGGUUCGAUGACGGUACCCGCAGAAUAAGCACCGGCUAACUACGUG